This 443-nucleotide long non-coding RNA is filed under the name Helianthus annuus (common sunflower). RNAcentral describes it as "sRNA HanXRQr2_Chr07g0305671". Lineage: Eukaryota; Viridiplantae; Streptophyta; Magnoliopsida; Asterales; Asteraceae. The record is from RNAcentral.
UUGUUAGAUAUUAUUAGACUUUAAAUAUCAUAAGAUUCAACAUUCUAAUAUCCCCAUAUCAUUUAUUCCUUACAUCCAAUCCAAUUCUAUUGGAAUAAAUAUACCCAUAUCUUUUAGAGCUAAAACAAGGACACAAAUUUAAAUAACCAAACAACCUUAAGAACUCUUCUUAUUCAUCCUAUCACCUAAGUAAAAGAGUGUGUCGACCUUAACGACUUUUUGGUUUUGAGUGGUUCAGUCUUGGGGGAGUUGGGGCUAACCAUAGAUGUUGAAGGACUCCGGAUAAAACUCGUUGUUUGCGAUAGGUUAACCAUGUUCACCAUUGUCUGUGUUUGUAUUAUCAAAUCUUCAUUUCCACCAACCGUAACCACCAUUUUCUUUAUCGGGUCCUUAUGAAUAGCUCUAAAUUUCACCAAUGACAUUAUGUUGCUGGAUUUUUCUAC